This 375-nucleotide ribosomal RNA is filed under the name uncultured bacterium. Its description in RNAcentral is "bacterial SSU rRNA". It matches the Rfam family "Bacterial small subunit ribosomal RNA", at positions 29 to 400 of the family's 1533-position model. The record is from RNAcentral.
AACGAACGCUGGCGGCGCGCCUAAUACAUGCAAGUCGAGCGAGAAGACGUAGCAAUACGUUUGUAAAGCGGCGAACGGGUGAGGAAUACAUGGGUAACCUACCCUCGAGUGGGGAAUAACUAGACAAAAGGUUAGCUAAUACCGCGUACGCUCCUUGGACUUCGGUUCAGGGAGGAAAGCGAUACCGUGGGUAUCGCGCUCUUGGAUGGGCUCAUGUCCUAUCAGCUUGUUGUGAGGAACGCUCACCAAGCUUCGACGGUAGCUGGUCUGAGAGGACGAUCAGCCACACUGGCACUGCGACACGGGCCAGACUCCUACGGGAGCAGCAGUAAGGAAUAUUGCGCAAUGGGCGAAAGCCUGACGCAGCGACGCCGC